UACGUAGGGUGCAAGCGUUAAUCGGAAUUACUGGGCGUAAAGCGUGCGCAGGCGGUUCGCUGUGUCCUGUGUGAAAGCCCCGGGCUUAACCUGGGAAUGGCAUGGGAAACUGGCGGGCUGGAGUGUGGCAGAGGGGGGUGGAAUUCCGCGUGUAGCAGUGAAAUGCGUAGAGAUGCGGAGGAACACCGAUGGCGAAGGCAGCCCCCUGGGCUAACACUGACGCUCGAGGCACGAAAGCGUGGGGAGCAAACAGG
This 254-nucleotide ribosomal RNA is filed under the name uncultured bacterium. Its description in RNAcentral is "partial 16S ribosomal RNA". It matches the Rfam family "Bacterial small subunit ribosomal RNA", at positions 524 to 776 of the family's 1533-position model. The record is from RNAcentral.